AAUAUGGCUUAUCGAAGACCAUUUUAAUAAACUAAAUCAAUUAAUUGUGGUUCAAAACUAGGCCUAAAGCAAUUUUUGUAACGACGGUCAUUGCUUUACCCCUUUUUAAUGGUACUGUGAUAACAUUUACGUUCAAUUACAAGA
Musca domestica (house fly) is the source of this 144-nucleotide small nucleolar RNA. NCBI's taxonomy places the organism in Eukaryota, Metazoa, Arthropoda, Insecta, Diptera, Muscidae. The record is from RefSeq and is a predicted model, not a curated record.